Molecule: small RNA, 78 nt
Filed under: Kaistella jeonii
Lineage: Bacteria; Pseudomonadati; Bacteroidota; Flavobacteriia; Flavobacteriales; Weeksellaceae
Description: Chryseobacterium jeonii Flavo-1 RNA
Rfam family: Flavo-1 RNA
Source: RNAcentral
UUCUAGCCGCGAUGGAAACGGCAUCCUUUUUCUUUUUUUCAAAAAAAGGAAAAGAUAAAGUGGACAGCGCGACCUCAA